This 252-nucleotide ribosomal RNA is filed under the name uncultured bacterium. RNAcentral describes it as "partial 16S ribosomal RNA". It matches the Rfam family "Bacterial small subunit ribosomal RNA", at positions 524 to 776 of the family's 1533-position model. The record is from RNAcentral.
UACGGAGGGGGCUAGCGUUGUUCGGAAUUACUGGGCGUAAAGCGCACGUAGGCGGCUUUGUAAGUUAGAGGUGAAAGCCCGGGGCUCAACUCCGGAAUUGCCUUUAAGACUGCAUCGCUAGAAUUGUGGAGAGGUAAGUGGAAUUCCGAGUGUAGAGGUGAAAUUCGUAGAUAUUCGGAAGAACACCAGUGGCGAAGGCGACUUACUGGACACAUAUUGACGCUGAGGUGCGAAAGCUGGGAGGCAAACAGG